UAGGCCAUACGUCCGAGGCCCGACGAUUCACAGCUCUGCGAUCUUCCUCCGCCCCUCAUCUGCGCAGAAGCCGCCAUCCUCCGCUCCCUCCUCCAUCUCCUCCGGGCGGCGUCCGCGGGGGACGAUUACCUCGGUCUGCUCCUCGAGAUCCACUGGCCGCCUUCCGUGAGGGAGAUGACCCAUCGGCCGUCUACGCCGCUGCCGCGUCGUGGCCGCAGCACGGGAGGACUACGGAUGGCUGCGCGUCUCCAAGCGGGCGCCGUCGCCAUAACGAACAUGACGGGCCACCGCAGCUGCGUGGAGGCGGCGCAAUGGCUGCGGUAGAUGGAGCCCGCGGCUUGGGAGUCGUCCCUGCCGGAGUGGCCAUCGGAGGAGGAGUUCUGCGCGGCACUGCGCAACGGUCUCGUCCUCUGCAAAGUGCUCAACCGCGUCAAUCCCGGCGCCGUCCCCAAAGUUAUGGAGAAUCCAGUCAUCACGGUUCAGACAUUUGAGGACAUGAGGAACUUCCUUGUUGCAGUUAGCGCCAUGAACCUGUUGACAUUCGAAACUUCUGAUAUAGAGACGGGAGGUUCGUCUAUGAAAGUUGUCGACUGCAUACUCUGCCUCAAGGGAUACCACGAGUGGAAACUCUCAGAUGGCAUUGGUAUAUGGUGGUGUGGUGGCAUCGUGAAAAUUGCAUCCACAAGCAAAAGACCUGUUUCACAUUUAACCAGAGAUGGAGGCUCAGAUCAACAAAUGCUGGAAUUCGUGCAUCUUCUCUCUGAGGUCUGCCUUGAGGAAUCCAGAGUUGAAGAAGCUCAGCAUUCUCUUUUUCACCGCUUUGUUCUUUGAGUUGUGAGGGCAUUCCUUCUGGAAUGGGGUGAAGCUGACGUUGCCUCUAGAUGAUAUGGUAGGUCAUCAAAACAAUACUCGAGCAAGCUUGUACAGAAUUUACCAUUAUAUAUGCUUGCCUUCGCUAGAAAUCAGGAAAAUAAUACACAUUUUUAGGAUAAAGGGCCAGCAGAAGGAUGAUGCAGCAACUGCAAAUGGAAUGCCUGCUGCUUAGAAGCAGAGUUCAGAAAGUUACAAUAAUCGGCCAAUUACAUCAUCCUACCAUUCAACUGAGGUAGAAUUUUCUGGAGUUCCUAUUGCUCAAGUGCAACCCAGUGCCAUUCAUCAUGGAGAAGCAUAAGAUUGCCAUAUCCAAGUGGUCAGGAGCAAUAACUUGAGUUGCCAAGGUUAGGAAGGGAUUCUUGAAUGACAACAAGUAUCAGAAGCUUGCAAUGUAGCACUGGUUCAAAACUGAUGAGCACCACUUAAGAUAAAUUUCAGAUGUUGAGGCUUUACUGAAUUUCGAUGAGGCAAGGAUAAUGUUUGAUUCUACCACUUCAAAAGAUAUUAUCAGAGCCAUAGCAGGAGUCCGCAGAAGAGGAAGACCCGAAGAACUAGGGUAUCUUAUGAGUCUCAUAAUACCCUAGGAAUAAAACUUAGAUGUUUAUCUUUCACCUGAACUGAUUCAUAUUUUAAAUUCUUAGAACCACGCUAACCUACACUAUUAAGUUUGUUUCAAACUAUGGUUGUAAUAAGUUGUACCUUCAGCAUGUAUAUAAAAAUGUAAUAUUU
RNA transcript from Setaria italica (foxtail millet), 1602 nucleotides. It is a transcript of the gene named kinesin-like protein KIN-14F, with no coding region annotated. Lineage: Eukaryota; Viridiplantae; Streptophyta; Magnoliopsida; Poales; Poaceae. The transcript is spliced from 9 exons. The record is from RefSeq and is a predicted model, not a curated record.